CCGGGGUGCCCAGAGGACACGACAGGGAGAAGCCCCGGUUCCAGGCCUGGUGGCCCUGGCCGCGUCGCUCCCUCCCACGCCCCACCUCUACACUGAAUAACCAGAAACCGAGGCGCCAAGGGACAGUGUGACCCCAUAAAGGAAAGAGCCCCCUGGGCUGAUUUUUUGUGAGACCUCUGCAACGCCGCAGGGCCCUUCCCAGUUUCGUCGGCUGUCCCCCACCCGGUCUGCAGCAGGGUGCUGCUGGGCCGGUGUUGCCGUCCCGGUUUAAAGAUGAAGAAGCCCGGGCUUCAUGGAGGCCUCAUUGGGGUCUGACAUCUCAGAUGCUUUCACAGUCCAUGAAAAUGGUCGUGGGGGGCCCACUGGAGGUGCUGGGGUGAAGGAGACAGACCGGGUGCAGGCUGUCACCGAGCGCAGUGUCCGCGCUCUGAGAGGGGCCCUUCCUCGGGCCAUGACGGAGCACUUCCUGGAGGAAGCGGAAAUCUCGAGGCUCUCGUAUUGCUGUAACCAAGCCCUGCGAGCUGGGCGGCACACCACAGAAAUUUCUUGUCUCAUGGUUCUGGAGGCCAGACGUCCAAAAGCAAGGGGAGGAUCUGUUACGUGCCUCUCUCCAAGCUGCUGGUGUGUCCCGCCCUCCUUGGUGCCCCUUUGUGCCGUGGACUGAGUGUUUCUGUCCCCCUGCCGCCGAAUCGUAGGUGGGAGCGCUAGUCGCCAGUGGGAUGGGAUUUGGAAAUGGGGCCUUAGGGAGGCAAUUUGGUUUAGAUGAGGUCAUGAGGGUGGGGCCCGCACGAUGGGGUUAGUGCCCUCAUAGGAGGAGAUGUGAGAGGGCUUGUUUCUCCCUCUCCCUCUGCUGCUCCCCCUGCUUGUGUCCUUUGUCAAAUAAAUAAAUAAAAUCUUAAAAAAAAAAAAAAAAG
RNAcentral lists this long non-coding RNA (914 nucleotides) under Ursus maritimus (polar bear). Its description in RNAcentral is "lncRNA (ENSUMAG00000023917.1)". The record is from RNAcentral. Lineage: Eukaryota; Metazoa; Chordata; Mammalia; Carnivora; Ursidae.